This 279-nucleotide ribosomal RNA is filed under the name uncultured bacterium. RNAcentral describes it as "partial 16S ribosomal RNA". It matches the Rfam family "Bacterial small subunit ribosomal RNA", at positions 506 to 784 of the family's 1533-position model. The record is from RNAcentral.
UGCCAGCAGCCGCGGUACUACUAAUGGUGCCAGCGUUGUUCGGAAUCACUGGGCGUAAAGCGUGCGUAGGCGGUUUAGUAAGUCGAUUGUGAAAUCCCCGGGCUCAACCCGGGAACUGCAAUCGAUACUGCUUUGCUAGAGUUUAGUUGGGGAUAGUGGAAUUCCUAGUGUAGGGGUGAAAUCCGUAGAUAUUAGGAGGAAUACCGGUGGCGAAAGCGACUAUCUAAGCUAAUACUGACGCUGAGGUACGAAAGCGUGGGGAGCAAACAGGAUUAGAUA